AGUACGGCGAGUGAAGCGGCAACAGCUCAAAUUUGAAAUCUGGCUCUUUCAGAGUCCGAGUUGUAAUUUGCAGAGGGCGCUUUGGCAUUGGCAGCGGUCUAAGUUCUUUGGAACAGGACGUCACAGAGGGUGAGAAUCCCGUAUGUGGUCGCUAGCCUUUGCUGUGUAAAGCCCCUUCGACGAGUCGAGUUGUUUGGGAAUGCAGCUCUAAAUGGGAGGUAAAUUUCUUCUAAAGCUAAAUACUGGCCAGAGACCGAUAGCGCACAAGUAGAGUGAUCGAAAGAUGAAAAGCACUUUGGAAAGAGAGUCAAAUAGCACGUGAAAUUGUUGAAAGGGAAGCGCUUGCAGCCAGACUUGCCUGUAGUUGCUUAUCCGGACUUUUGUCCGGUGCACUCUUCUGCGGGCAGGCCAGCAUCAGUUUGGGCGGUUGGAUAAAGGUCUCUAUCACGUACCUCUCUUCGGGGAGGCCUUAUAGGGGAGACGUCAUGCAACCAGCCUGGACUGAGGUCCGCGCAUCUGCUAGGAUGCUGGCGUAAUGGCUGUAAGCGGCCCGUCUUGAAACACGGACCAAGGAGUCUAACAUCUAUGCGAGUGUUUGGGUGUCAAGCCCAUACGCGUAAUGAAAGUGAACGGAGGUGGGAACCCUUUGGGUGCACCAUCGACCGAUCCUGAUGUCUUCGGAUGGAUUUGAGUAAGAGCAUGGCUGUUGGGACCCGAAAGAUGGUGAACUAUGCUUGAAUAGGGUGAAGCCAGAGGAAACUCUGGUGGAGGCUCGCAGCGGUUCUGACGUGCAAAUCGAUCGUCAAAUUUGGGCAUAGGGGCGAAAGACUAAUCGAACUAUCUAGUAGCUGGUUCCUGCCGAAGUUUCCCUCAGGAUAGCAGUAACGUAUUCAGUUUUAUGAGGUAAAGCGAAUGAUUAGAGGCCUGGGGGUUGAAA
This 937-nucleotide ribosomal RNA is filed under the name Tintelnotia destructans. RNAcentral's name for it is "eukaryotic LSU rRNA". It matches the Rfam family "Eukaryotic large subunit ribosomal RNA", at positions 82 to 1041 of the family's 3401-position model. The record is from RNAcentral. Lineage: Eukaryota; Fungi; Ascomycota; Dothideomycetes; Pleosporales; Phaeosphaeriaceae.